RNAcentral lists this unclassified non-coding RNA (20 nucleotides) under Mus musculus (house mouse). RNAcentral's name for it is "oocyte_clustered_small_RNA4053". Lineage: Eukaryota; Metazoa; Chordata; Mammalia; Rodentia; Muridae. The record is from RNAcentral.
UAGCAGGCCACGUCACCUCA